RNAcentral lists this ribosomal RNA (468 nucleotides) under uncultured bacterium. RNAcentral describes it as "partial 16S ribosomal RNA". It matches the Rfam family "Bacterial small subunit ribosomal RNA", at positions 28 to 507 of the family's 1533-position model. The record is from RNAcentral.
GACGAACGCUGGCGGCGUGCUUAACACAUGCAAGUCGAACGGAAAGGCCCUGCUUUUGUGGGGUGCUCGAGUGGCGAACGGGUGAGUAACACGUGAGUAACCUGCCCUUGACUUUGGGAUAACUUCAGGAAACUGGGGCUAAUACCGGAUAGGAGCUCCUGCUGCAUGGUGGGGGUUGGAAAGUUUCGGCGGUUGGGGAUGGACUCGCGGCUUAUCAGCUUGUUGGUGGGGUAGUGGCUUACCAAGGCUUUGACGGGUAGCCGGCCUGAGAGGGUGACCGGGCACAUGGGGACUGAGAUACGGCCCAGACGGCUACGGGAGGCAGCGGUGGGGAAUAUUGCAGAAUGGGCGGAAGCGUGAUGCAGAAACGCCGCGUGCGGGAUGACGGCCUUCGGGUUGUAAACCGCUUUCGCCUGUGACGAAGCGUGAGUGACGGUAAUGGGUAAAGAAGCACCGGCUAACUACGUG